This is an RNA transcript of Meriones unguiculatus (Mongolian gerbil), 5285 nucleotides long. It is a transcript of the gene named interleukin 1 receptor accessory protein, with no coding region annotated. The transcript has 12 exons. The record is from RefSeq and is a predicted model, not a curated record. NCBI's taxonomy places the organism in Eukaryota, Metazoa, Chordata, Mammalia, Rodentia, Muridae.
GGUGGCCCACGCGGGGGCACCCAGCGCAGCCUGGCAUCCGCUGGCGGGCGGGCCCCACGCGGCUCCUCCUCGCAGCGUGCGGAACUGCCCCGCGUGCCGCCCCCACUCCAGCCCCGGGAAGCCCCGAUUGCGGGCGGAGCGCGAGCCACCGCGGCGGGUGGAGCCUGCGGCCGCCGGAUCCCAGGGCCAAUCGCGCGGUGGCAGGGGAGGAGCCCCGGAGGGGGAAAAAGAAAGUGCGGCGGAAAGUAAGAGGCGAGUCGAGGAAGGCUGCUGGGAUCUGGGUCUCCUGGGCUCGGCUUGGACCAGGGCGCGGAAAGAGGCAGUGGCCGGCCACCCUGCACCCAUCCCGUCAUUGUCGCCGAGUCUGCUCGGCUGGCCCAGGAAGGAUGGGAUUUCUGUGGUUGAUGAGUCUGUGCUUCUUUGGGAUCCUGCAGAGUCAUGCCUCAGAACGCUGUGAUGACUGGGGACUAGAUACCAUGAGACAAAUCCAAGUAUUUGAAGAUGAGCCAGCUCGCAUCAAGUGUCCUCUCUUUGAACACUUCCUGAAGUACAACUACAGCACUGCCCAUUCCUCAGGCCUCACCUUGAUCUGGUACUGGACCAGGCAAGACCGGGACCUGGAAGAGCCCAUUAACUUCCGCCUCCCAGAGAAUCGCAUCAGCAAGGAGAAAGAUGUGCUCUGGUUCCGGCCCACCCUCCUCAACGACACAGGCAAUUACACCUGCAUGUUGAGGAACACAACAUACUGCAGCAAAGUUGCUUUUCCCCUGGAAGUUGUUCAGAAGGACAGCUGCUUCAAUUCUCCCAUGAGACUUCCCGUGCACAGACUGUACAUCGAACAUGGCAUUCAUAAGAUCCAGUGUCCAAAUGUAGAUGGAUACUUUCCUUCCAGUGUCAAACCAACUGUCACUUGGUAUAAGGGUUGCACUGAAGUAGUGAAUUUUCAUAACGUGUUACCAGAAGGCAUGAACUUGAGCUUUUUCAUCCCGUUGGUUUCAAAUAAUGGGAAUUACACGUGUGUUGUCACCUAUCCUGAAAACGGACGCCUCUUUCACCUGACCCGGACUGUGAGUGUAAAGGUGGUAGGCUCGCCAAAAGAUGCAUUACCGCCCAAGAUCUAUUCUCCAAAUGACCAUGUUGUCUAUGAGAAAGAACCAGGAGAGGAGCUUCUCAUCCCCUGUAAAGUCUAUUUCAGUUUUAUUAUGGACUCACACAAUGAGGUUUGGUGGACCAUUGAUGGAAAGAAGCCUGAUGAUGUCACUGUUGACAUAACUAUUAAUGAAAGUGUGAGUUAUUCGCCGACAGAAGAUGAAACAAGGACUCAGAUUCUGAGCAUCAAGAAAGUCACCCUUGAGGAUCUCAGGCGCAGCUAUGUCUGUCAUGCUCGAAAUACCAAAGGGGAAGCUGAGCGAGCAGCCAAGGUGAAGCAGAAAGUCAUACCGCCAAGGUACACAGUGGAACUCGCCUGCGGUUUUGGAGCCACAGUCUUUCUGGUGGUGGUUCUCAUCGUGGUCUACCAUGUUUACUGGCUGGAGAUGGUCCUCUUUUACCGGGCUCAUUUUGGAACAGAUGAAACUAUUCUUGAUGGAAAGGAGUAUGAUAUUUAUGUCUCCUAUGCAAGAAAUGCUGAAGAAGAGGAAUUUGUGUUACUGACACUCCGUGGAGUUUUGGAGAAUGAAUUUGGAUACAAGCUGUGCAUCUUCGACAGAGACAGCCUGCCUGGGGGAAAUACGGUGGAAGCGGUGUUUGAUUUCAUUCAGCGGAGCCGAAGGAUGAUCGUUGUCCUGAGCCCAGACUAUGUGACAGAAAAGAGCAUCAGCAUGCUGGAGUUCAAACUGGGUGUCAUGUGCCAGAACUCCAUUGCCACCAAGCUCAUUGUGGUAGAGUACCGCCCUCUCGAGCAGCCCCACCCAGGCAUCCUGCAGCUGAAGGAGUCUGUGUCUUUUGUUAGCUGGAAGGGAGAGAAGUCCAAACAUUCUGGCUCCAAGUUCUGGAAGGCCUUGCGUUUGGCUCUUCCCCUGAGAAGUCUGAGUGCCAGCUCCGGCUGGAAUGAGAGCUGUUCUUCUCAGUCUGACAUCAGUCUGGAUCACGUUCAGAGGAGAAGUCGUUUGAAAGAGCCCCCAGAACUCCAGAGCUCAGAGAGAGUGUCUGGAGCAGAGCCAGCACCGGGCACCAUAUCCAAGCACAGAGGAAAGCCCUCGGCAGCCUGUCGCUGCUGUGUCACCUACUGUGAAGGAGAAAGUCACCUCAGGAGCAAGAGCCGGGCAGAGAUGCACACCCAACCCCAAUGGGAAACACACCUCUGUAAGCCUGUUCUCCAAGAGUCCGAAAGUCAGUGGAUACCAAACCGCACCAGACCUGAACCCACUCCCCAGAUCUCAGCUCUUGCACUGCACCAUUUUACAGAUCUAUCCAAUAACAAUGACUUUUAUAUCCUAUAAUCACUAUGUGGAGGGCGGUGGCUGCUAUUUCUACCAACUCUCUUUGGGUCACAAACCUUUGGGAAUAACUGACAUUUUUUUUUUAUCAUCUAAUAGACGAUCACAUUUGUGUCCCCUUUAUUGAUUUUUUAAAAACUAUUUAUUUCUAGGAAACAAAAGACCUGAAGCACCCGUAUCCAGUUAUUGCCUCUAACGGCCUUGGAAGAGCACACUCUUCUCGGGCCCUAGAAGGCUCUGAUUUUCUCCAGCCAAGGAGGACCACAAAUCAUCCUUUAACAAAGGGUUUGCAGGCAAUAGCUGAAAAUGAAGGGCCUGUUUAACCCCUGGAAUUGUCUCAGCACAAGCAAACAAUUGACUAGAGUGGUUGGUAGAGUGUAUUUAUAACCUAUGUUCCAGCAGCCAUCUUCUCUAUUAGAGUAAGAUGAGUGAUGCUGGGCUAAUAUUUCAGUAACUUCCCAUCACCCAUCUUAAUUUUGCUGAUGCUAAAGGUCCAGCUGAAGGGCUGGCAGUUUUGUGUCCUUGCCAUGUGAAAUGUGUAGCUUGCAGUUGUCCUAUACUUGGGCUUAAACUGACACUCCUUAUUUUCUUUCCCUUAUAUUUUAUUAGCUAGAAGUAUUUCCAGUGUUCUUGAUACAGUCAUAAAGAAGGCCACAAAAUAUAUUCUAGUGCCACUGAGAAGGAAAAAUUACAUUGAACUUUAUGAACACGUGGCAUUGUCUUCUUCUACAAAUGAGAUGAAGAUGAGAUAAUUAGGUAGGCCAAUGAAGCAAGGAAGGACCUUCAGUCUUCUUUUUGUUACUUCAUGUAAUAAAACAAACGAAAGACUGUGAUGCUCUCAUCCAACCUCAGUGUGUCAAGAUAUCAAGAUGAAGCCCCACACAGAAAAGAAUAAAGCUUGCAAUAAGCUCCCCAUAUAUGAAAGUUGUUGACAUACUGCCUUGUAAUAAUUACACUUUCUGAUCAAGAGGAAGCAUGUUUUAAAAGUUGGAAGUUGCCAUAUUUGGUUGCUUUCCAUUUAGUGGCUUUAGUUAGUACUCUAAGAAUGUGAUGCUCAAACUGUCUCUAAAUGAGCCAUUUCAUUUUGGAAAUUCAGGGAGCCUCAGAAGAAUUGAAGGCAUUUAGAACACAGCAGAGCAUGUAACACGGUCAUUAGGAAGCAUCAUUGAUCCAUUUAUUUGAAGAGUUAAACAGGGAGCUCAAACCGAACAUGCUGAAAUGCAGAUGAAGGAGGAGACCAGUACCUAUGUGGGUGUCAUGGAGUCUGGGACAAUUGUCCUUGCGUUUUCUCUCUUUCUGAUUGAAUUCCAUUGCCAUGAAGUAUUUGAAUUUUUUUAUAUGACUUUUCUAAUGUAUACAGUAUUAUUUGGUAAUAAUUAAAAGCUUUCUUUAGUUUGGCAAAGAUUAAUAUUUCAGAUUCCUGAUACAUGAGAACAAGCUAAAGUAUUGAACAAAGAAGAAUUUUGUUUCUUGGUAUCAUGAGGAAAUUACUCACCAUUCAGAAUUCUUCUAAGAAUAGUUCACAUGGUUUUGCCUUGAAUAUUUCAACAUUUAAGCAUUCUAAAAUGUAAGGAAUUAGUUUCUGGAAGGUUUGCAUGGAUGGAAAGGUGAAAGUUUGCUAACAAUGUCUGCUAGCAGAUAAGGAGCUGUACUUCUCUGUCCCUGAAUGAUGCUUAUUCUAACACUCCCUCCACCAGAGGAUAAAGCAACUUUAAACUAUGUGUAGUGGAUCAUUCCUCCAGACCCAAUACCCUGGACACAAAAGCAAAAGGUUCAUACGUUGUAGACCAUUCCGUGUGACAGAAGGAAUUCUAGGCAAGCCUAGGAUAUAUAUUGAGACUAACCCCUCCAAAACGGAGGAAUAAAACAACACCUGAUUUUCAUUUAUUUAACUCACUGAUUUAUUUUAAAUUGUGACAGCUGGGUCACAGGCUUACUGUAUUCCAAAUCCAGGGGCAAGUCUGCCGGAGCAAGAAUUGAAUGUAGUUCUUUGAGGCCAGUUGCACGUACUUGUGGUGUGCCACAGACAACCAAAUCUCCUUCAAAUGACUUAGCUCUUUGAUCUUGCUAAGGAUGACCAGCUGCUUUAAGGACCUUGAAAAGUGCUUGAACAGGAGUCAAUGAAAAUUCAGUAGUGAUAUCUUGUAUAUAAGAAAUGAAAGGAUAAAACAAAUACUAACAGUAUAGACAAUGUUCUUCAUCCUUAAACUAAAAUUUGGAACUCAUAGCCAAAUGCUGGAACUGGCUUAUUUGUUCAAAGGAUAAAGAAAUUUUUUAUCCUUUCUGGUUCUUUACUUUCAUAUUGUUUGCAUUCUGAUUAUGAGGUAAUGAUAAAUGAACAAUAAAAAACAUAAAAUUACAGAAGUAAAUAGAGUUGGAUAACCAAAGAAGACAAUAGUCUUAGUGUUUAUUAUUUUCAUAUGCUCAGUCCCCUAAAGCAGGGAAGAGUACGUUAAAACCAGCCACUUGGUUACUGGCAAAUUUUAUUAAAUAACACCUAAGAAGAAACUGAAGAAAACGCUGAGGACAAUCAAGCCCUAUUUCCCUAUUUCUAAGUACCAGGAUCAAGGAAAACAUAUGUAAAAUGCCCGUGGUAUCCACUAAAGUAAGAUGUUGGGUGACUUUCAGGGAUCAUGGAAUAAAGUUAGACAGUCAUUACCAUUGUAAGUUUCAUAUUGAAUAAAAUAUUACUUUGGAGUCAGGACAUAUGCUUUGGGAUUCCAAUUAUUAUAGUGACUGUGCAUUUCACUCGCACAUGUUGGCUCUCAAAUUCUCACUUUCUUCAUGUUAAGGGGAAAUAAUAUCUACCUCAUUGAAUUGUUGUAAGGGUAAAAUUAUACAAUAAAU